AGUGCGUUUGUUAAGUGAGCGCGUUCCCUCCGUGUCAGCAGGUUUUGGACGAAUUUCAUUUUGCGAAUGAUGUUGUUGUUAGUGUAAUGAUACCCCCGCGUUUUUUUCACAGUAUGUCUGGUCGUGGAAGAGGCAGUAGAGGAGCUAGAGGUGGACGUGCAACUACCGGUAGUGUUCCUGGUGCAAAAGUCGGGGGAACGGAAAUUUUUAUUUCUUGUGAAUUUUGUAUACAUGUUGAUGAUCAUAUUGUUGCUAUCCCGGAAAUUAUUUUCUGUACACACAAAAAAUAUGAAGACAGAUAUGGCGGGGAAAAGCAAGUGAUAAACGGAGUAGAUGUGUACAUAUAGAGAACGAGAGAAAAAUAUCACCACACCACAAUGGAACCUUUACCGAUUGUGAUUAAAUACGAAAAUGCUAAUAACGUAACACAACCGCCACCCUUUUCAACAGAUACACAAGAACAAACAUUUAUAAACGUGUUGAAAAGGAUCGAAGAAUCGUCGAUAGCAGAUGUGGGCAUUUUGGUAGAAACUUGGCUUAAGAAUUUAGAUAGAAGUAGUUUCACAAAAGAACACUUGAAUAAGUAUAAAAUGGUAUCUUUAGGGUUAAAAUCGACAAAUCCGAAAAUAUUUAAUUUUGGUGGUGUUGCUAUAUACUACAAUACAGCUACUGUAGAUGUGACAGACAUAGAAGUCAACUAUGAUAUUGAACAAGUUUUUUGCAAGAUUCGGUUAAAAAAUAAUCCCAAAAAUGUCAUAAAUCUUUGCGCAUUUUAUAUUCGCCAAGAUGCACAAGUUGGAAAAAACCAACUGCUCAAAUCAGCAGAGGUCGUGUGAGAGCCAAAAGAGUGUGAGAUUUUCCUGUUCCUGGUUGAGAUUGCACCAAAGUAAGACUCUUGGAAUUGUUUAAAACGUAAUGCGUAAAUGUGCUUUGAUAAAUGUCCAGUAUCACACAUAAACUUUUCAAACUUAAACUGUCAGUUCGCAGUUUUGCGACUUCGGUCAUAUAUUCGUUGAUGCGAGUAUAGUGUGAGUACGGCUUACCAGUUAAUAAGGCGCGAACUAAGACGACAAUUCACUUCGCAAGAAUUCGACCGCUUCGCACACACUGUUACUGGUAAACCGUAUACACAAGCCACAGUUUGUUUUGAUUCGCAUGAACGAAUAUAUGACCGAAGUAGCAAAUGGUGAAAUGUUUUGUAUACCAGCCGAUCACCUGGUGACGUGCGUCGCUGAGAAGUUUUAUUGAAUUUGUUGUAAAAUUGAACGAACUUUAUUCCGAGGAAUUAGAACUUUUCAAGGAAGGAGGAGGAGCGUUGAAAAGAAUAAGAAAAGCAUUGUUUAAGAGCGCAGAAACGCUGAAUUGAAACGAAAUGUUUUUUUUUAUUUUCUUCUUCUUUUUUUGAGCACUUGGACUUAGCGGGACUUAGACCAUUUAUGCAUCAUAUCGAUACAUAUGAUUUAGAACAAUAAUAACAUUAACGUUUUAUUUUGCAUUUACGUAUGUAUUUUGACCAAUUGUGGCUAGCCGUUUGAAACAAAUAUUCAUAAAAUCAGAAACAAUCAGAAUUGUUCAUGUGGUAAUUAUUUAUUCCAUGUUCCACGAUGUUCCAUGGAAAAAAAUUAGAGAAGAAUGAUUUGCUGAAGAAUAGACCGGAAUAAACGGAAACCAAACACUGCACAGUUGAGUCUGGUUGAAUCAAUUUGGCUCUCUAUUGAUGUUUACUGGACUAGAGUGUUUUCGGAAUCGGUUAAUCAAAAAAUGAUAUGCCUCAUUCGAUAGAUCUCAGAAUUCUGAGUCGAUUGAUAAUAUUUUUGUCGCGGAUGGACUUGUGAUGACACUUCCCGAAGCUGAAAACAAAAACAGUUUGUAUUUCCAUAGUAACCUGUGACAACCAGAUUUGAUUUGAAAUUUGAAAGCAAAAAUUUGACAAGAAAACAUAAAAUUGAAUCUAGUUGUCACACGUUACUAUAGAAAUUCAGAAUAGAACAUUUUUUGUUUUUUGUUGCGGGAAGUGUCACCACAAGUCCAUCCGCGACAAAAAUGUUAUCAAUCGACUCAGAAUUCUGAGAUCUAUCGAAUGAGACUUACCAUUUUUCGAUUGAACGAUGCCGAAAACACCCAACGUGGACAUAAUCGGACAUAAUAUUAUUUAGAGUGGAAGGAAAGAAUUAUUCUAAUCAUUAAUUUCUUUUAAAUUGAAAAUAAUUGAAAUAUAUUAUUUUUUUUAAUUUGUAUGAUUUGAAUCAGAAUACUCAAAUCAAAAAUUAUUAUACUUUGAAUGUAUUCAUUUCACACAGAUAGCUGGCUAACGAUUGGCUUACACCAGUUGUUGGUGUAAGCCAACCCAAUGAACACAUGUAAUGCUAAAUGUUUGAAUUUUGUGCAUAUUUUAAUGUAAUGCUAAAUGUAGCACUAAAAGUGCAAAAAUUGUGAAAUUUUUGGACCUAUUUAGAUAAAAUUUUGUUUCUGGGCACAAUAUGUGUAAGAAUUGUGCACGAUUUGGGAAUAAAUCUACUAUGCACAAUAAUUGCACGUGUUUGGCUCAUUGGGAAGGCAAAGACAAUGCUGGCUAACGAAAAAUCAUCACUGCUGUACAGUGACACAACAAAAACUUGUAUCACACUCGGACGAGAAGGUGAAAGAACAAUCUGACGAUAUUAACAAAAUUCAUCUGAAAAUUAUUGAAAUGUAUGUAAUCCACCCCAAACACGUUUUGAAACCAAUGUAUGCCGUACACGUAUAUCACUAGCGCAAAGUCUAAUCUGUUCUGUAUUUCUGUCUUUCUGCUGUGUGCUUUCAUACAGUGUACUAUUAGCAUGUGUUUUUAAUCACUCAUUUUGGAAUAUCAAUGUGUGAACAAUUCAACUCUCGGUGAAACAUGAGUUCAUUUUGUUUUGAUGUUUCAAGUGCUUUGGUUCUUCUCAAGUGUUUCAGUUGUAGCAUAGACGCGCAAUUGCAAUGGCGUUUGAGAGCUUCAAAGCAGUGUGCACUUUAAAUGCGUGUCGGUGAAUAAGAAUGGAAAAUUUGAUAAAGUUUUUUAUUUUGAAAUUGAAUUUUUUAUAAAAUGUUUUCACUAACCAAGCUCAAGCCACACAAACUUUAGUGUUUCAAAUGGAGCAACCUACAAAGUUUUGGUUUUGUUUAUUUGUUCAUGGCUUGAACGUUCACCUAAAUGGCGUUUUUAUCAGUACAGUUUCUUUUUUGUGGAAUUAACUUUUAGUGAACUGAUUUAAAUGUAAAAUUCGAAUGAGUGAAAUGACAAUUCAGCACAAUUCAUGAAAAGAUACCACUCACAAUAUGAUAUAUGACUCGUUGAUAUCGGUGUAUCAAUUAAUAAAGAGAAUAAUUGGAACGAAAAUGACUCGAAUGAUUUGGUUUUUUGUAUUGCCUCAAUACGUUCGAAUUGCCGUUUGUUCAACUACACCACUAAAACGAGAAACGUCACUCAUUCUUUUUUCUUUAUUAAAGAAAAAGAAUUUUGGCAGUGCGGGACUCGAACACCGCA
Molecule: long non-coding RNA, 3508 nt
Organism: Sitodiplosis mosellana (orange wheat blossom midge)
Lineage: Eukaryota; Metazoa; Arthropoda; Insecta; Diptera; Cecidomyiidae
Exons: 3
Source: RefSeq, a predicted model, not a curated record